This 1925-nucleotide long non-coding RNA is filed under the name Nicotiana benthamiana. RNAcentral describes it as "long non-coding RNA (NBEN_LNC023455)". The record is from RNAcentral. Lineage: Eukaryota; Viridiplantae; Streptophyta; Magnoliopsida; Solanales; Solanaceae.
UAAGAUCCAAGCCGUCAAUGUUUUUUGAUCUAACGAACCUCAACUCACCCACUCCACGUAUAUAACAGUCCGAACGGACCCUACCCCCUUAGAAACCCCCUGCUCAUCUCGUAGAACCACUCAUCCCUGAUAAACUCUAGCGUCGCGGCCCUAAAAUUCCACCGCCUUUGGCCGACAGCGCCGUUGCGAAACGACCCCAAAGUAACAUCCUAAGACCUACUCCAUCUCCUCUUUACCAUUUUGUGCUCCAUUCUUAUCGAAUAUGUGUAGAAUGUGUCGAAUAUUGAAUCUGAGGUUGAGCCCUAGAGGCCGAAUGUUGACCAAUGCAUGCAAGGCUAUAUUCCUUAUUCCCCAUAAGAUUGAGGGCCGAUUUUAUCCCGAAAUAACAUCAUUUGCUUGUUCUUAACCAAGAACAAAAAAUUGGUGUUAUUUGGAGAUCUAAUCGGAGGUUCAAGCGAGUUCAAGGCUUGAAUUAGUGAGUCUCCUUAGCUGUUCUGUCCAAUUUUUCUUAUCUCAUCCCCAUUCCUCUUUGUUUAUGUUUUAUAUCCGUGACUGUUCCCCCUUCUCUUUCUUAUCAUUAAUUUUCCUUUACCCCAUAGUAUUUCCUAUUACUACUGAUUAAAUUACAUUUAUUUUGUUUUCUUUGUCUGAUUGUUGAUUUAUAGUGAAGAGUUCAAUGUCGAGUUGAGUAAUUAAAAUAAUUCAAGCUUAAAAUCAGAAAGUAAUUAUGUUUUCCCUGAAUUUUUGAUUUAUUAGUUUCUUUGGUUUAUUUGGUCACUUCUGAGUGUUUCAGGCCCUAAUGAGUAACUAUGGUCAUCUUUGACCUGGUUAAAGGGGCUGGUUAGUUAGAUUGUGGGUUAACCUAGCCUAAGGUAAUAAUGAACGGGUAAAAAACAGGGUUGUAGGGGUUAGUUUUGGGUAAUUGCUUAGGGGAAUGUUUGUAUAACUGAUUAAGAAGCUUCUUAGAAGUUAACUUUUGGGAUUGUUUUGAAACUCUGAAAACUAAAUGGGGAUAUCUAGGAAAAAAUGAAACCAUAGAAAGGGCCAAAAUGAAAAAUCUGAUUUCUCUAUUGUUGCCCUAUUGCCUUGCCUAUAAAGACAUCUUAUUAUUGCAUUUGGAGGGAUAUUUUUUUAAGGGAUAAAAUCCAGAAAAUACAAAAACGGGAAAAUUUUCUACAGUUCCAUUGAAUUUCAGUGAUUUUCUGAUUAUUUCAACUUCUGGAAACACUAGUGCUUCAUUAAUGGGAUUUGAGAUGAGUUGAUAUUAGUUUUGGAAAGCUUUUUUGGGUCAAGUUGUGUUGAAGUUUACUAUUCCAUUGGAUUUGGAACUGAUUUUGUGGUUUCAAUUACUAAAUUUCAGUUGUACUGUUGCUGGUGACAAUUUCUGCUGUUACUCUGUUGAUCCCUCACUUUUUCUUUUCCUAUUUCGAUCUCCAGGUAUAUAUCCCUGAUUUUAAACAUGUAAGCCAUUGUUCAUGAAGUGUCUUUGUUGAAGAAAAUGAAGAUUGUGUUUUCCUUUAUCAGAUGUUAUCUCUUCUUAGUUUCUUUACUGUAAUAGGACUAUUAUGUAGUAUAUGUUACUUUGGGUUUGUUUAAUUCUGAGGUUCUAUUGUUAUUAGAAGAGACCAUCAAUUUUAAUAUCCGUGAAUAUUGUUUUAAAAUGUAGAUUUUUAGAAUGUUCUGCUACCACAAAGUUACAAUAGUUGAGAUUGAGCAUGUGUUUAAAAGUUGAAGUCGUUCAAUUUUAUUUCUUUUGUUGGUUUAGUCUUGUUUGAGAAUGGGUAAGGGUUAAAAGGUGGUCCAGUUUGCAAAUUGUCAAUGUUUUUGGGAUGAUUUGGAUGGCUGUAAAAUCAAGCAUGUGUAGUUAUAGUUUGGUAUGAGAAUUUGAAUAAGGUCUAAAUUUAUAGCCUAUUCUAUUUGAGUAA